GUUCGGACCUCCAAUCAAGCAA
Molecule: ribosomal RNA, 22 nt
Filed under: Chorda asiatica
Lineage: Eukaryota; Phaeophyceae; Laminariales; Chordaceae
Description: partial 28S ribosomal RNA
Source: RNAcentral